CAAGCAGGCGUCCCUUCAAGUUUUGGGUGAAAUCCUCUCGCUUAACGAGAGAACUGCCUGAAAAACUGAAGGGAUUGAGGCUAGAAGAGGAGAGCGGAAUUCCCGGUGUAAGGGUGAAAUCUGUAGGUAUCGGGAGGAACACCUGUGGCGUAAGCGGCUCUCUAGUCUAGCCCUGACGCUGAUCUGCGAAAGCUAGGGGAGCAAACA
This 207-nucleotide ribosomal RNA is filed under the name uncultured bacterium. RNAcentral describes it as "partial 16S ribosomal RNA". It matches the Rfam family "Bacterial small subunit ribosomal RNA", at positions 568 to 774 of the family's 1533-position model. The record is from RNAcentral.